CAGUCGCCGCGGUAAUACAGAGGGUGCGAGCGUUAAUCGGAUUUACUGGGCGUAAAGCGUGCGUAGGCGGCUUUUUAAGUCGGAUGUGAAAUCCCUGAGCUUAACUUAGGAAUUGCAUUCGAUACUGGGAAGCUAGAGUAUGGGAGAGGAUGGUAGAAUUCCAGGUGUAGCGGUGAAAUGCGUAGAGAUCUGGAGGAAUACCGAUGGCGAAGGCAGCCAUCUGGCCUAAUACUGACGCUGAGGUACGAAAGCAUGGGGAGCAAACAGGAUUAGAUACCCCAGUAGUCCCUGUCUCUUAUAU
This 301-nucleotide ribosomal RNA is filed under the name uncultured bacterium. Its description in RNAcentral is "partial 16S ribosomal RNA". It matches the Rfam family "Bacterial small subunit ribosomal RNA", at positions 509 to 809 of the family's 1533-position model. The record is from RNAcentral.